This is an RNA transcript of Vespa mandarinia (Asian giant hornet), 1583 nucleotides long. It is a transcript of the gene named cdc42 homolog, with no coding region annotated. The record is from RefSeq and is a predicted model, not a curated record. Lineage: Eukaryota; Metazoa; Arthropoda; Insecta; Hymenoptera; Vespidae.
AUCAUAGAUGGCAGUCUUUGUUAGUACUUCGCUUGACACGUGUACCCCUUCUUGAAUGGUUUAAAUAUUUGUGACAGUAUAGCGUUGUCGACGCCCAGUUAUCCUUGGAUUUGCAAGGGGACUAUCUCUCGAUAUCUGGUUCUUAAGCAUAUUCCUAUUCCAGUAACUAUUGCAAUAGUGUUCGUCAAGUUCGAAACUUUUCAGUUACAAUUGUAAUGUCUAAUGGAUAUAAAGUAUGUUAACGAUUCGUUAGAAAAGUGGAGUGUCGUCUACAGAUAAUGAAAAGUUUAAAAUUUUAAACGUGUGUUAACAGGAGCAUUGCAAUGUUUUAUAGCUAUCAAAUGUGUAGUCUGUAAAAAGUUAAGUUAUUGACAGAAAGUGUACGCUACUGCACAUAAAAGUAGUCAAAUAAAGAACCGUGCGAAAGAUGCAGACAAUAAAAUGCGUUGUGGUAGGAGAUGGGGCUGUUGGUAAAACUUGCUUAUUGAUUUCCUACACCACGAAUAAAUUUCCAUCGGAAUAUGUGCCUACGGUGUUCGAUAAUUAUGCCGUUACAGUAAUGAUUGGUGGAGAGCCAUAUACAUUAGGAUUAUUUGAUACUGCUGGUCAGGAGGAUUAUGAUCGGCUACGACCGCUUAGUUAUCCACAAACGGAUGUAUUCCUAGUAUGUUUUUCUGUUGUAUCCCCGUCAUCUUUUGAAAACGUUAAGGAAAAGUGGGUACCAGAAAUAACUCAUCAUUGUCAGAAAACACCUUUUUUACUUGUUGGUACACAAAUCGAUUUAAGAGAUGAUGCAGCAACUAUUGAAAAAUUAGCAAAAAAUAAGCAAAAACCUAUCACAGGAGAGCAAGGAGAAAAACUUGCAAAAGAACUGAAAGCAGUGAAAUAUGUAGAAUGUAGUGCUCUUACGCAGAAAGGUCUAAAAAAUGUUUUUGACGAAGCGAUCUUAGCAGCUUUAGAGCCACCGGAACCAGUUAGGAGAAGACGAUGCGUUGUCUUGUAGGACGUGAUUGCCUCCUUAUCGAACGAUUGGCUCAAUAUUGUCGAAGAUUGUGAGUUUUAUCGUACGGUGCAUGCAGAUUAUUUUAUCGAAGCAAUAACCACACACUGAAUAAGACAAAACAAGGCUUAACGUGUUGAAUAUCAAAGAACGAAUAUGCCUGCGUUCAUAUAAGGCGUCGUUUCUCUAACGAUAUUAAAAGAACUUGGAAAGUCAAGUGAAAUUUUGUAUUGAAAAUCGAUACGGCAAUUACAAACUAUUUGCAUGUUUGCAUUUCUCCUUAAUUAGGGGUAUUAUACUUUUGUAACUGUAUAAAAUGUCGAUCGCAACACGCAGAUGUGGAUAACCAUAAUUUUGUACAUAAAUUACAUAAACUUAUUUAUCUUAUACAAUGGUGACUUGCGAUUUUGACGUUGACUUUUUUUACGAUCGCAUAAACGAAACAAUUCCACUAUCCAGGAUCGAAGAAAGCUCGUAAUAGAGAAUAUACCAUGAAAGCUGCAAAACUUGUAGGAUAUUUAAAAUGUAAGAUGUUUUUGACAACACAAUAAUAGCGUUUUUAAUAAAUCAUUUAUAAAAAUUA